Molecule: long non-coding RNA, 1520 nt
Filed under: Strigops habroptila (Kakapo)
Lineage: Eukaryota; Metazoa; Chordata; Aves; Psittaciformes; Psittacidae
Description: lncRNA (ENSSHBG00005014235.1)
Source: RNAcentral
GCUCAGUAGUUUUUUUUAAUACUCCGUUUUUUGACAGAGAUUAUACCCAGUGCCAUUUGCCAUACCAAUCUAUUAGGUGGCAGCAAAACACCACAGCACUACAAAAGUGAAAAAAAAAGGCAGGCUACACAAAACACACCGGUGGCAAACUGCUAUCUGACAGCAGCAGUCUGUCCCAAACUUCAAACCUAAGGGGUGGUCACUUCAAGCACCACAGAUUUCCAGGUAACAGCUGAAAAUGCGAGACCUUCCACAAAAAAAUGAAAUACGGAAAUGGAAACUGGUAGAAAUGUGCCCUGGGAAAAAAGUGUACAAAAAUAGCGCAAGACUUAUGAUUGAACACAGAAGACCUCACACCUGGGAGAAAACAGACAGAUGCCACUUCACUUUACCUAACAUCUCAGAAAAUGUAUGUGUAAAAUCUUCUACUUACUAGAGAACAGCAAAUGACUGCACAAUCCAGGGACAGAUUGCUGUGAUGCCCUAUCUGCUUUUGCCUGACAUUGCAGUUAUUUGAUCUGAGGUCUUCUGUGCUCAGCAGCACCUUUUGGCAGAAGCUGAUAGCAUAAAAAACCUAACUUAGUAUCUGAAAUAAUAAAUGCCCACACGAUGAUGAUAUUUAAUAAUUGCUUAUUUCUUUACACACAGAGUUGCUGGUGUCAUUUUACAAAGUACACUGAUUUGGAAUGGCAACAGAUAGGUUUUACAGGGUAACAUCUUCAGCUAAAAAGUGCUUGCCUUGGCAGCUGAGUUCAGUCCAAGGAUCCCUUUGUAAUACAGCCACUUACUUUAAGAGUGUGCAGUCAAUGCACAAGAAUACAUCCAUUUUGAUAAGCUGUCAAAUCAAAAAAUGUGCAUCUUGACUGCUCAUUGGAUAUUAAGAUGAUUAACCCUAAGUAGCAACACUAACAUGUUGAAAGGCACUUUUUGGUUUUUUUUUUUGAGGCCCAAAUCUAGGCCUUACUUUUGAGGAUUUUUUGUUUUCUUUGAAAUACUGAUUUUUGCAGCUGUAGCUUCUCAAGUCUGGCAGAGUUGAAGCCUCUCAUAUAGAGGCAUUGGUCCCAAAGAUACAGAUAGACUGAUGAAGUAUCUGAGGUAAACAGCUCUUCCCAAGACUCUGGCUUUCUAAGUUCUACCUUAAAUACUGGUAUUAGCAGAGGCUUAGUUUUCAAAGCGGUGACUUUUGAAUGCAUCGAUCAUGUGAGUGGAGGUUGCUGUAACAGAACUGGUAUUAAACCAGAGGCUUUCUUUUUAUAGCACCACAAGUAACCUUUGGUUAAUGUGUCAACUGUCUUAGAGUUGACCCGCCACUGAAAUUCUGAGGGACAGGCGCUUAUCUAAGCUCUAUUAGGAAUAUUCCAGUUAGCAAUAUACAAAAUAAAACCUAACAUGUUCAAUUUUGAAAAUAUAAUUAAAUAGUAUGCUAAAUUAAUUGUUGCCCUUAAGACUAGAGAAUUAUACCAUGUUAGUGUAGCAUUAUCUGCCAAACUUAGCAAAAGGAUUGUUUGAUCCUGUUCUUC